UACGGAAGGUCCGGGCGUUAUCCGGAUUUAUUGGGUUUAAAGGGAGCGUAGGCCGGAGAUUAAGCGUGUUGUGAAAUGUAGACGCUCAACGUUUGCACUGCAGCGCGAACUGGUUUCCUUGAGUACGCACAAAGUGGGCGGAAUUCGUGGUGUAGCGGUGAAAUGCUUAGAUAUCACGAAGAACUCCGAUUGCGAAGGCAGCUCACUGGAGCGCAACUGACGCUGAAGCUCGAAAGUGCGGGUAUCGAACAGG
This 253-nucleotide ribosomal RNA is filed under the name Segatella copri DSM 18205. Its description in RNAcentral is "Prevotella copri DSM 18205 partial 16S ribosomal RNA". It matches the Rfam family "Bacterial small subunit ribosomal RNA", at positions 524 to 776 of the family's 1533-position model. Lineage: Bacteria; Pseudomonadati; Bacteroidota; Bacteroidia; Bacteroidales; Prevotellaceae. The record is from RNAcentral.